CAGAAGGCACACCCGGAGAACUGAAACAUCUUAGUACCCGGAGGAAGAGAAAGAAAAUUCGAUUCCCUUAGUAGCGGCGAGCGAAACGGGAAGAGCCCAAACCAACAAGCUUGCUUGUUGGGGUUGUAGGACACUCUAUACGGAGUUACAAAGGACGACAUUAGACGAAUCAUCUGGAAAGAUGAAUCAAAGAAGGUAAUAAUCCUGUAGUCGAAAAUGUUGUCUCUCUUGAGUGGAUCCUGAGUACGACGGAGCACGUGAAAUUCCGUCGGAAUCUGGGAGGACCAUCUCCUAAGGCUAAAUACUCUCUAGUGACCGAUAGUGAACCAGUACCGUGAGGGAAAGGUGAAAAGCACCCCGGAAGGGGAGUGAAAUAGAACCUGAAACCGUGUGCUUACAAGUAGUCAGAGCCCGUUAAUGGGUGAUGGCGUGCCUUUUGUAGAAUGAACCGGCGAGUUACGAUUUGAUGCAAGGUUAAGCAGUAAAUGUGGAGCCGUAGCGAAAGCGAGUCUGAAUAGGGCGUUUAGUAUUUGGUCGUAGACCCGAAACCAGGUGAUCUACCCUUGGUCAGGUUGAAGUUCAGGUAACACUGAAUGGAGGACCGAACCGACUUACGUUGAAAAGUGAGCGGAUGAACUGAGGGUAGCGGAGAAAUUCCAAUCGAACCUGGAGAUAGCUGGUUCUCUCCGAAAUAGCUUUAGGGCUAGCCUCAAGUGAUGAUUAUUGGAGGUAGAGCACUGUUUGGACGAGGGGCCCCUCUCGGGUUACCGAAUUCAGACAAACUCCGAAUGCCAAUUAAUUUAACUUGGGAGUCAGAACAUGGGUGAUAAGGUCCGUGUUCGAAAGGGAAACAGCCCAGACCACCAGCUAAGGUCCCAAAAUAUAUGUUAAGUGGAAAAGGAUGUGGCGUUGCCCAGACAACUAGGAUGUUGGCUUAGAAGCAGCCAUCAUUUAAAGAGUGCGUAAUAGCUCACUAGUCGAGUGACACUGCGCCGAAAAUGUACCGGGGCUAAACAUAUUACCGAAGCUGUGGAUUGUCCUUUGGACAAUGGUAGGAGAGCGUUCUAAGGGCGUUGAAGCAUGAUCGUAAGGACAUGUGGAGCGCUUAGAAGUGAGAAUGCCGGUGUGAGUAGCGA
This 1136-nucleotide ribosomal RNA is filed under the name Staphylococcus aureus. RNAcentral describes it as "partial 23S ribosomal RNA". It matches the Rfam family "Bacterial large subunit ribosomal RNA", at positions 173 to 1312 of the family's 2925-position model. The record is from RNAcentral. Lineage: Bacteria; Bacillati; Bacillota; Bacilli; Caryophanales; Staphylococcaceae.